CCGCGGGACACAGGUGUGGCCGGCCGCCCUUCGCGGCCGCGGGGUGGCGGUCGGGGGGGUGGCUGCUACCGCCUCCUCCUCCUCCGCCGCCUUCUCUUCCUCCUCUCCGUCCGAGCCCGGUGCGGUCCGUGUCCCCCAGCCGCGUUCGGCCGGGCCGCUCCUCAGGCGGGCAGGGCUCUGGCCGCGCGUCGCUCCCGCACCUGGAGACAGGCACGAAAAGAAGAUCCUCACGGGGGUUCGGCUGCCUAUGGAUAUGUGGUUCAGGCAUUUUCUUCAAAGAGCAGAGUCUGGAGCACACAGUUAUUUAUGCUCUGUCUGUAGGAUAAUUCAUGACUAAAUAAACUCCAUUGUCGGAAUUUUUCAACUGAACCUGAAGUCCGGCUUUGGGUUGAAGAAUAAAAAGCAAAUAUUAAAGGCCUUGAUAUGGAAU
Molecule: long non-coding RNA, 430 nt
Filed under: Serinus canaria (Common canary)
Lineage: Eukaryota; Metazoa; Chordata; Aves; Passeriformes; Fringillidae
Description: lncRNA (ENSSCAG00000013398.1)
Source: RNAcentral